Molecule: ribosomal RNA, 465 nt
Filed under: uncultured bacterium
Lineage: Bacteria
Description: partial 16S ribosomal RNA
Rfam family: Bacterial small subunit ribosomal RNA
Source: RNAcentral
GAUGAACGCUGGCGGCGUGCUUAACACAUGCAAGUCGAACGGAAAGGCUCCUGCUUGCAGGGGUACUCGAGUGGCGAACGGGUGAGUAACACGUGGGUGAUCUGCCCUGCACUUCGGUAUAAGCCUGGGAAACUGGGUCUAAUACCGGAUAGGACGAUGGUUUGGAUGCCAUUGUGGACAGUUUUUCGGUGUGGGAUGAGCUCGCGGCCUAUCAGCUUGUUGGUGGGGCAAUGGCCUACCAAGGCGUCGACGGGUAGCCGGCCUGAGAGGGUGUACGGCCACAUUGGGACUGAGAUACGGCCCAGACUCCUACGGGAGGCAGCAGUGGGGAAUAUUGAAAAAUGGGCGCAAGCCUGAUGCAGCGACGCCGCGUGGGGGAUGACGGCCUUCGGGUUGUAAACUCCUUUCGCUAGGGACGAAGCGCAAGUGACGGUACCUGGAGAAGAAGCACCGGCUAACUAAGUG